Molecule: ribosomal RNA, 467 nt
Filed under: uncultured bacterium
Lineage: Bacteria
Description: partial 16S ribosomal RNA
Rfam family: Bacterial small subunit ribosomal RNA
Source: RNAcentral
GACGAACGCUGGCGGCGUGCUUAACACAUGCAAGUCGAACGGAAAGGCCUCUUUCGGGGGGUACUCGAGGGGCGAACGGGUGAGUAACACGUGUGUAUCCCGCCCUUUACUUUGUGAUAACUUCUGGAAACUGGGGCGACUACCGGAUAUGAGCUCCUUCGCCAUGUGGGGGGUUGGAAAGUUUCGGCGGUGUGGGAUGUAGUCGCGGCUUAUCAUGUUGUUGGUGGGGUGGUGGCUUACCAAGGCCUUUACGGGUAUCCGGCCUGAGAGGGGGACCGGCCACAUUGGGACUGGGAUCCGGGCCACACUCCUACGGGGGGCAGGAGGGGGGAAUAUUGCAAAAUGGGUGGAAGCCGGAUGCCGGAAAGCCGUGUGCGGGGUGAAGGCCUUCGGGUUGUAAAACGCUUUCGCUCAUGACGGAGCUUUGUGUGACGGUAGUGGGUAAAGAAGCACCGGCUAACUACGUG